Molecule: unclassified non-coding RNA, 356 nt
Filed under: uncultured fungus
Lineage: Eukaryota; Fungi
Description: partial contains 5.8S ribosomal RNA and internal transcribed spacer 2
Rfam family: 5.8S ribosomal RNA (bases 1-133)
Source: RNAcentral
UGGCUCUAGCAUCGAUGAAGAACGCAGCGAAAUGCGAUAAGUAAUGCGAAUUGCAGAAUUCCGCGAGUCAUCGAAUCUUUGAACGCACAUUGCGCCUGCCAGUAUUCUGGCAGGCAUGCCUGUCCGAGCGUCAUUUCAACCCCCAGGCCUUCGUCAGCCUGUUGUUGGGGCCUUUCAGGGGACGGCCCAGGCCGGACCCUGAGCCCUGAAAACCAGUGGCGGGCUCGCCAUGAACACUGAGCGCAGUAAUUCUCUCUCGCUCGGGGGUCCAGGCGGGCGCCAGCCGUGAAAAACGCAGAGUGAAAACACUUCUAACACAGUGGUUUGACCUCGGAUCAGGUAGGAAUACCCGCUGA